UUCACAAGCCUCGCACUUCCGGCCUAAGAUAUUUGAGUACGCAGCCCUUGAGGACCGUUGAGGCUGCGUACUUUAAGGCUGCAGACCCUGAAUUGGGAUACAGCCAGAGCCUGCUGGGACUUAAGACCUCGUUUUAAUUCUUCCACUUUCUGUAGUCUUUGUUCCCUGUCCGUAUUCUUGUCUUUGUGUUUCUUAAACGUUUCAUAGUGCCUUCUUAGAUUAUAUUCUUUCAUUACAGCCACACUUUCUCCACAGAGAAGACAGGUUUGCCUUUUACCUCCGUGAACAUGUACUCUGCCUCCCACCUGGCUUGAAAUUCCCUGUUCUCACUGUCCACCUUCCGUUUAGCCAUUAUUGGGGAGGGGGGUUGCUGAAAGUUGACAUCUGCUCUUAAUGCUGAUGAAUAUUGAAUGAAUAAUGAAGCCGAGCCCCGCUUGCGGCACUGCAGUGAGUUCGCAGGCUUCCGUUGCAUUGUGGGAAAUGGAGUAUUGGUGCGUGCAAAACCCCAGCAGGCGGCUGUGACCUGCGGGCCGAUUCUAAUACUAAUCAAAUAUUUAUGCUGUACCUAUUUACUUGCAUUGUAUAGAUAUAUUCACGUCAUCAAAAUAUGUCACAUGACUUACAAGGUUUAGAUUGUUGUGCAACAUUGUCACAUUCUGAUAUUUAUUCAGUGGUUUUAUGGUGGUCAAUGCUAUGUGUAUUGUUUUUAAUCUUUAAAUAUUCUCCUUUAUAAGUGCCAAACUCUUCAUGCAAAGCUUCUAUGUCUGGUUAUGCUAAAGUAAGUAUUUUGCUUCUGCUUUGUGCCACCAAGAAAUGUCAUUCUUUCUUAAUAAAGUGUUAAGACUUGAUCAUCUAAGUUAUCCUAAGUUCUUCCUUCUUUCCUUUAGUUUACCAGUAAUACUCUGUCUGUAACAACAUUGUUGACUUUGUAUGUAUUUAUUUAUUUAUUUAAAGGGUUGUGAUGCUGAAUAUGUAACUAAUGUUUGCUGAGAAUUUAGGUAGGUGCAUACUCAAAUGUGUUUUUUAAAAACAAUUUAUAUUGAAACACUCUUUUUAUGUGAUUGCAACCACAGGUCGAGAUAGCACAUGCUACAGGGGUAAAAAUUCUUAAACAUCAGUGGGCUGCUGCUCUUCAGGCCCAAACACCCACUUGAAUGGUGCGUGUUCUUCUGAUGGCCGCCUUCCCAUUUGAUCCAGAGCAAUUUAAAAGGACACAGAAAAAAAGACAUCAGCGCAGAGCAAAGAACGGCCCUUGAUAAAGAAACCAUGGCAGCCAUAUGUAUGGCAGUAAGGAAGAGGUUCCCCAAUGUAUCCAGAGGGGAUUGCAGUGAAUUUAAAGCCUGGGGAACUCAGACACUUAAAAUACAUUUUAAGUAUGUUUUAUGUUCAUACACACCCACAUAUUAUAUAUUUCAAAAUAUAUUUUUUUACCGUAUGGGAAGAUAGUGCCUGUAAACCAGCCUUCCAGAUACACCCACACCCACACACACCUGCAAGCAGGGAAACCAGGGACAACCACCCAAUACAUCAAAUAUACAUAUAACAAAUAAUAUAAGUCCAAAACUGCUCAUGGACCCUGGGUCCCUCAGAGCCAGGUCCCCUACAAAUUAUCCCCAUUUAUUUCUGGGGGUGACUUUCCCCUGCUGGCCCAUCUUCUCCAGAAUUGUCCUGAUCACACACCAAAAAUAAGAGGAGAGAGAAAACCAUGGCAACUAUGUUAAUCCCUAAAUCCAAAGGUUUUCACAGCAGAACACCAGAGGAAUACCGUCUGGACAUCACAGGUUCUGUACAGCAUGAGGGUUAAUAAAACCAUACUCAGAUGAACAUAAUGUGUAAUAUUGAUUUAUUCUUGUACUUCCAUGCCACAGUGGCAGAAUUUUCUUCUCUCAGUUUGAUAAACUGAGCUGGUCAUUGUUCCCUAAAACAUAUCACAAAAAGGUUAAUUAAAAAAACAUAAAAAAUUAGCUGUAUGUAAUGUGAGAUUAUAAUAUUAUCUUAUGCCAUGUUAUACCCCUGAUUAAUGAUUGUAAAAUUGUUAUGUAGUUUUAGUUUGCGUUAUUCUCCUGAAUUAGAAGAAGGUGAUAACUAUUACAUUUGUUAAACUGAUUUGUAUUACAUUAGACUGCUGAUUUAUUGUGAAUGGAUGAUAUUGUUUUAUGAUGCACUAUACUGCUGAGUUAAGAAGAGAAUAUUGUGUGCAGAGAGUCAGGGCCUUGCUGUUCUGAUAGCAGAGAAGACAGAGCACAUUCCACAGGAGCUUCACCCCACCACCUUGUUGGGAGCAGAAAAACAAGGAGCCGAGGUCAUAACUUAGGCGCCGUGUGAGAGAAAGAAUGUGAAUGUUUAGGCUUUUACGACUAGGUGGGGGC
Molecule: long non-coding RNA, 2369 nt
Organism: Oreochromis niloticus (Nile tilapia)
Lineage: Eukaryota; Metazoa; Chordata; Actinopteri; Cichliformes; Cichlidae
Exons: 3
Source: RefSeq, a predicted model, not a curated record